Acyrthosiphon pisum (pea aphid) is the source of this 1361-nucleotide long non-coding RNA. RefSeq lists it as uncharacterized. The record is from RefSeq and is a predicted model, not a curated record. The transcript is spliced from 4 exons. Lineage: Eukaryota; Metazoa; Arthropoda; Insecta; Hemiptera; Aphididae.
AUCACAGUCCACAAAUUACAAUUUAUUACAAUUUCAUAAUAUUAUAAUGUUGUGUUGAGCGAAACAGCUAAACGAAAUUGCUCGUUAUUGACUCUGUUAAUCCGUCCAGAAAUAUAAUCUCUUUUCUAUGAUUCUGUCAUUCUAUGGUACAACUACCCUGCUUCAUAGAUCUCCCUAGCUCAUAAUUAAUACUUAUUAUAAAUGUUUAACCAAAAACGGUACAACUGGCCUUAACAAUAAUUGCCAUGGCUAGUCCGUGAUUUUGUUCACAGAAAAUAGUAAAAUAAAUUUCAAUUUAUCAAACAUCAAUCCCAAAUCCCAAUGUAAGAUCAGAGUAGCAGCCCGGAAAUGGCAAAAUUACUAAAACUGAAAAUAUGUAAAUUGAUAGUACCACCAUCUACUUCUAAUUUUUUUGAUGCACUUCAGGUUCUUCAGGAAGAUUCGUUCAUUGAUAAAACAAAUUUGAUUGAAGAGGUAAUUGACGAUACUGAUUUGCAAAGGUAUUGAAGUUCACAUGGUUGUAAUAGAAAUCGAAGGGAAAUGACCUGGUUCGUGUUACAAAGAAUUACGAGCUCAUUCCAAAACUUCCUAAACAGAUAUUAAACAUAACCAAAGAGAAGAUCAUAGUGGACAAAACUGGCAAUUACCCGUUCAUUUAUGUCAAUUUUCAAAGCGGUAGUCUCAGGUCUUUCAAAGUUUCUACGGAAUUCAUGAAGAUUUACAAGUGCUGCUUCGAGAUUAAAAACAAUGAAAUUAAAAACAUAGAAUCACUAUUCAAUGGAUUUCAAUCUGACUUGGAGAAAAUAUAUCAUGUAUAGUCAGUGAUUUCAUAGGUACCUUAAGUUUAAUUUUUAGUUGGACGGAUGUAGUGUUUAAUUGAACAGAGACAUUUCAACAGUAAAAUUCACAAUAUUAGGAAUGAUGUGUGUCAAUAAUAUAAUAGAGUUGAAAAUGUUAUAUAUAUUAUUAUACUACUUUUGAGAAAAAUUCAAAACUUACAUAAAACAUUGCAUACUUAUUUUAGGAGCAAUUUAUUUUUAAAUAACCAGUAACACAAACUAAAUUCUAAAUAGUCCGUUUGGUAUUAGUUAUUGGCUGUUAUAUCUCGGGCUUUAUCUAAAUUACAAAUUUAUUUAAAAAAUAUAAUGAAUUUAUAAUAACAAUAAAAUCAAAAUCUGUUACUGUAAUAAUAAGUAUUUGUAUUUUAAACAAGCUGUAGAUGAUUUUAACAGUCCUACUAUAUUCUGUUUCAUGAGAGAAUAUGUCGUGGCCCGGUACUUUUUUUUCAAUAACUUAAUAAACUUAUUAAAUGUUAUUUUUUUUUAAUCUUAACAAUGAUAAAAUUAAUUAAGUUAUUAAUU